Molecule: ribosomal RNA, 468 nt
Filed under: uncultured bacterium
Lineage: Bacteria
Description: partial 16S ribosomal RNA
Rfam family: Bacterial small subunit ribosomal RNA
Source: RNAcentral
GACGAACGCUGGCGGCGUGCUUAACACAUGCAAGUCGAACGGAAAGGCCCUGCUUUUGUGGGUUGCUCGAUUGGCGAACGGGUGAGUAACACGUGAGUAACCUGUCCUUGUCUUUGUGAUAACUUCAGGAAACUGGGGCUCUUACCGGAUAGGAUCUCUUGCUGCAUGGUGGGGGUUGGAAAGUUUCGGCGGUUGGGGAUGGACUCGCUGCUUAUCAGCUUGUUUGUGGGGUAGUGGCUUACCAAGGCUUUGAAGGGUAGCCGGCCUGGGAGGGUGACCGGCGACAUUGGGACUAAGAUACGGCGCAGACUCCUACGGGAGGCAGCAGUGGGGAAUAUUGCAGAAUGGGCGGAAGCCUGAUGCAGCAACGCCGCGUGCGGGAUGACGGCCUUCGGGUUGUAAACCGCUUUCGAAGGUGCCGAAGCGUGAGUGACGGUAAUGGGUAAAGAAGCACCGGCUAACUACGUG